AAAGUUUGACAGACAAUCGCUGGCAGCCUCGUUGCUGCGAGAGGAAAGUCCGGGCUCCACAGGGCAGGAUGCUGGAUAACGUCCAGUCAGCGCGAGCUGAAGGAUAGUGCCACAGAAAUGGACCGCCGAUGGCCCCGUAAAGGGGCACAGGCAAGGGUGGAACCGUGGUGUAAGAGACCACGAGGAGUACAGGUGACUGUAUUCCUGGUAAACCCCAUCUGGAGCAAGACCGAGAGGAUGUGGCGGCCGCAAGGCCGCAGCCUUAGCCCGAGGCGCAUCCGGGUUGGUUGCUUGAGCUGUUCAGCAAUGGACGGCCUAGAUAGAUGAUUGUCGCUUCCUAGUGGGAGGGUCGUUCCCGUUUGCACCACCAGAAGUACAGAACCCGGCUUACGGCAAACUUUCCGC
Molecule: RNase P RNA, 405 nt
Filed under: Paenibacillus oryzae
Lineage: Bacteria; Bacillati; Bacillota; Bacilli; Caryophanales; Paenibacillaceae
Description: Bacterial RNase P class A
Rfam family: Bacterial RNase P class A
About the family: Ribonuclease P (RNase P) is a ubiquitous endoribonuclease, found in archaea, bacteria and eukarya as well as chloroplasts and mitochondria. Its best characterised activity is the generation of mature 5'-ends of tRNAs by cleaving the 5'-leader elements of precursor-tRNAs.
Source: Rfam by way of RNAcentral